AACUGCUCGUGAGGUUCCUGCGGGC
Molecule: unclassified non-coding RNA, 25 nt
Filed under: Mus musculus (house mouse)
Lineage: Eukaryota; Metazoa; Chordata; Mammalia; Rodentia; Muridae
Description: oocyte_clustered_small_RNA6700
Source: RNAcentral